UACGUAGGGGGCAAGCGUUGUCCGGAUUUAUUGGGCGUAAAGGGCGCGUAGGCGGUCGUGACAAGUCACUUGUGAAAUCUCCGGGCUUAACUCGGAACGGUCAAGUGAUACUGUCGGACUAGAGUACAGAAGGGGCAACUGGAAUUCUCGGUGUAGCGGUGAAAUGCGUAGAUAUCGAGAGGAACACCUGCGGCGAAGGCGGGUUGCUGGGCUGAUACUGACGCUGAGGCGCGAAAGCCAGGGGAGCGAACGGG
This 254-nucleotide ribosomal RNA is filed under the name uncultured bacterium. Its description in RNAcentral is "partial 16S ribosomal RNA". It matches the Rfam family "Bacterial small subunit ribosomal RNA", at positions 524 to 776 of the family's 1533-position model. The record is from RNAcentral.